UGCAGAGGGUGCGAGCGUUAAUCGGAAUUACUGGGCGUAAAGCGUGCGUAGACGGUUAUUUAAGUCGGAUGUGAAAGCCCCGGGCUCAACCUGGGAAUUGCAUUCGAGACUGAAUAGCUAGGGUGCGGUAGAGGGAAGCGGAAUUUCCGGUGUAGCGGUGAAAUGCGUAGAUAUCGGAAGGAACAUCAGUGGCGAAAGCGGCUUCCUGGACCAGCACCGACGUUCAGGCACGAAAGCGUGGGGAGCAAACAGG
This 253-nucleotide ribosomal RNA is filed under the name uncultured bacterium. RNAcentral describes it as "partial 16S ribosomal RNA". It matches the Rfam family "Bacterial small subunit ribosomal RNA", at positions 524 to 776 of the family's 1533-position model. The record is from RNAcentral.